This 425-nucleotide ribosomal RNA is filed under the name uncultured bacterium. RNAcentral's name for it is "bacterial SSU rRNA". It matches the Rfam family "Bacterial small subunit ribosomal RNA", at positions 356 to 774 of the family's 1533-position model. The record is from RNAcentral.
UGGGAAUAUUGGACAAUGGGCGCAAGCCUGAUCCAGCCAUGCCGCGUGGGUGAAGAAGGCCUUCGGGUUGUAAAGCCCUUUUGUUGGGAAAGAAAAGCAGCCGGCCAAUACCCGGUUGUUCUGACGGUACCCAAAGAAUAAGCACCGGCUAACUUCGUGCCAGCAGCCGCGGUAAUACGAAGGGUGCAAGCGUUACUCGGAAUUACUGGGCGUAAAGGGUGCGUAGGCGGCUUUGUAAGUCAGAUGUGAAAGGCUACGGCUCAACCGUAGUAAGCAUUUGAAACUGCAGGGCUUGAGUGCAGGAGAGGAGAGUGGAAUUCCUAGUGUAGCGGUGAAAUGCGUAGAUAUUAGGAGGAACACCAGUGGCGAAGGCGACUCUCUGGACUGUAACUGACGCUGAGGCACGAAAGCGUGGGGAGCAAACA